This is a long non-coding RNA of Vigna unguiculata (cowpea), 1182 nucleotides long. RefSeq lists it as uncharacterized. The record is from RefSeq and is a predicted model, not a curated record. Lineage: Eukaryota; Viridiplantae; Streptophyta; Magnoliopsida; Fabales; Fabaceae.
UCUAUGUCAACUACUUUCUCUCGCUUUUUUUUCUUUCUUUCUUUUUGUUCUUUUCUGCUCAAACAUCAACUGUAAAGAAAACUCCUUUUACCAGGAAGAUGGUCGAUGCUUCACCUAAAAUGUUCAACAACGUUUGCCCCACGGGGCAAACCAAACCCUCAAUGGGCAUGUCUCCUCUCAAGAUUUUCAAGAAUCCAGUUGGUGAAUGAAAAGGUUCAAUUCCAAAAGGUUUUUUAUUCUUCUUAUCUUCCCAUUGUAUUAAUUAAUUGGAAAGAGAUUCUGUAUUUUCAUAGAUUGGACGAUGGAAUUAAUCAGGUACUCAACUUUGAUUUUUCUAAUCUAUUGCAUUUUAAUUGGGGAAUUUUCUCAAAUCCAUCAUUUCUUUGUAUUGCCAGUUAGGAAUGAUCGUUUUCUUCCUCAAUCUUUACAGAACAUUCUGGUUUCUUCAGCCUUGAUAGUGCCAAGAAGCUUUGAUUCAAGAAUCCAUGCAUUUAUCUUCGGAUCAACUUUGGCCUCAUACCAAGGAUCCAAACACGCACAACGUAGUGGCCAAAUGCUUGAUCAUUCCUUGAUGCACGAUUUUUCAGCCUUGUCCUGGUUUCAAGAAUAAGUUUUUAUCGUUUCAAGAUUCUAUCCUUCUAAGAUUCGUUGGAAUCCGUCUGCCAGUAACCUUGCUUUUUCAAAGCAAUCCUACAAAUUCAGUUUUGUACAGAGAACCUGAUUUACAAAUGCCAGCAGAAUGAAUUUGAGGGGAAAAAAGAUACAAUAUCAUCUGAUUUUGACGAUUAGAAGUUUUCAGGCCAUGGAAAAUCAAGCUCAUUUAGUUAUACCACUGCAGAAACUCAUUCAAAAGAAAUAGGUGGAGUUUUCCUUCUUAUCUAUUGGAGGCUAUUAUACUUGUGAAAAGAUGUUUGUGGUAUACUUUCUUAUUCUUCUAUACGGAAUUUAGUAUGUCCUAAUAGAUCAUGAUCAUUUGAUCCAAAAACAAAAGCUUAGUUUAUGAACAUGACUUCUAAUUAAGAAGAAGAAAAUUGUAAGUUGUCCUACAAUUCUGUCUAUUAAAACAUGAUUUAUAAAAUCAAAAUCAUGAGCAUGAUUUCUUUUGAUCCAAUUUCAUACAACAAAAAUCGUGUUCUGUUCUUGGUACACGACUUCUUAGUCCAUUUUAAAUUAAAACUGAAA